Molecule: ribosomal RNA, 497 nt
Filed under: uncultured bacterium
Lineage: Bacteria
Description: partial 16S ribosomal RNA
Rfam family: Bacterial small subunit ribosomal RNA
Source: RNAcentral
GAUGAACGCUGGCGGCGUGCCUAAUACAUGCAAGUCGAGCGAACAGACGAGGAGCUUGCUCCUCUGACGUUAGCGGCGGACGGGUGAGUAACACGUGGAUAACCUACCUAUAAGACUGGGAUAACUUCGGGAAACCGGAGCUAAUACCGGAUAAUAUAUUGAACCGCAUGGUUCAAUAGUGAAAGACGGUUUUGCUGUCACUUAUAGAUGGAUCCGCGCCGCAUUAGCUAGUUGGUAAGGUAACGGCUUACCAAGGCAACGAUGCGUAGCCGACCUGAGAGUGUGAUCGGCCACACUGGAAGUGAGACACGGUCCAGACUCCUACGGGAGGCAGCAGUAGGGAAUCUUCCGCAAUGGGCGAAAGCCUGACGGAGCAACGCCGCGUGAGAGAUGAAGGUCUUCGGAUCGUAAAACUCUGUUAUUAGGGAAGAACAAAUGUGUAAGUAACUAUGCACGUCUUGACGGUACCUAAUCAGAAAGCCACGGCUAACUACGUG